Molecule: long non-coding RNA, 836 nt
Filed under: Homo sapiens (human)
Lineage: Eukaryota; Metazoa; Chordata; Mammalia; Primates; Hominidae
Description: PREDICTED lncRNA (TCONS_00010131)
Source: RNAcentral
AUGGGACUCGGCGCCGUGGAGCAGGGGGCGGCGCUCAUCCGGCGCCCAUGGAAUGGGUGGGAGGCUCAGGCAUGGCGGGCUGCAGGUCCCGAGCCCUGACCCGCGGGAAGGCAGCUAAGGCCCGGUGAGAAAUCGAGCGCAGCGCCGGUGGGCUGGCACUGCUGGGGGACCGAGUACACCCUCCACAGCCGCUGGCCGAGGUGCUGAGCCCCUCAUUGCCCGGCUGCUCCGAGUGCGGGGCCCGCCAAGCCCACGCCCACCCGGAACUCCAGCUGACCCGGAACUCCAGCUGGCCCGCAAGCGCCGCGCGCAGCCCGGGUUCCCGCUCGCGCCUCUCCUUCCACACCUGCCUGCAAGCUGAGGGAGCCGGUUCCGGCCUUGGCCAGCCCAGAAAGGGGCUCCCACAGUGCAGCGGUGGGCUGAAGGUUCCUCAAGUGCCUCUAAAGUGGGAGCCCAGGCAGAGGAGAGCGAGCGAGGGCUGUGAGGCCUGCCAGCACGCUGUGACCUCUCAGAAGUACACACUUGGCUGGAAAGAGAAGACUCUAUAGAGGAGGAACUUACAGCCAGGACCCUGGUUGAAUCAGUACUUAAAAAUGCUCUUAUGAGAAAGGGCAGAGCUGCAUUUUACUUAACCUAAACUCAUUUUUCACAAAGCCCCAAGACCUGGAUGACCAGGAAGCCAGCAACUCGACCAGAAUGGCAGGCUGUGGAAAGAAGUCAUUUGGUGAGCUUCAGACUGAAGUAAAAGAGCCAGAAGAUUAUAGGACUCCCCUUCCUCCAGGACCUGAAGAUGGAAUCCCCAGAGUCUUAAGAGGAGCCACCAGAAAAAGGUAAAA